This 497-nucleotide ribosomal RNA is filed under the name uncultured bacterium. Its description in RNAcentral is "partial 16S ribosomal RNA". It matches the Rfam family "Bacterial small subunit ribosomal RNA", at positions 28 to 507 of the family's 1533-position model. The record is from RNAcentral.
GAUGAACGCUGGCGGCGUGCUUAAUACAUGCAAGUCGAGCGAACGGACGAGAAGCUUGCUUUUCUGAUGUUAGCGGCGGACGGGUGAGUAACACGUGGAUAAUCUACCUAUAAGACUGGGAUAACUUCGGGAAACCGGAGCUAAUACCGGAUAAUAUUUUGAACCGCAUGGUUCAAAAGUGAAAGACGGUCUUGCUGUCACGUAUAGAUGGAUCCGCGCUGCAUUAGCUAGUUGGUAAGGUAACGGCUUACCAAGGCAACGAUGCAUAGCCGACGUGAGAGGGGGAUCGGCCACACGGGAACUGAGACACGGUCCAGACUCCUGCGAGAGGCAGCAGUAGGGAAUCUUCCGCAGCGGGCGAGAGCCUGGCGGAGCGACGCCACGUGAGUUAUGAAAGUCUUCGGAGCGUAAAGCUCUGUUAUUGGUGGUAAACAGAUGUGUAAGUAGCUGUGCACAGCUUGACGGUACCUAAUCAGAAAGCCACGGCUAACUACGUG